UGACAACCUGGUUGAUCCUGCCAGUAGUCAUAUGCUUGUCUCAAAGAUUAAGCCAUGCAUGUCUAAGUACAAACUAUAUUAAAGUGAAACCGCGAAAGGCUCAUUAAAUCAGUUAUGGUUCCUUAGAUCGUACCACAAAUACUUGGAUAACUGUGGUAAUUCUAGAGCUAAUACAUGCAAACAGAGCUCUGACCGGAGACGGUAGGAGUGCUUUUAUUAGAUCAAAACCAAUCGGCGGCGGUAGCAUUUCGGUGUUAUCGUUCGUCGCUCAAUAAAUGGUGAAUCUGAAUAACUUUAUGCUGAUCGCAUGGUCUUGUACCGGCGACGCAUCUUUCAAAUGUCUGCCUUAUCAACUGUCGAUGGUAGGAUCUGCGCCUACCAUGGUUGUAACGGGUAACGGGGAAUCAGGGUUCGAUUCCGGAGAGGGAGCCUGAGAAACGGCUACCACAUCCAAGGAAGGCAGCAGGCGCGCAAAUUACCCACUCCCGGCACGGGGAGGUAGUGACGAAAAAUAACGAUACGGGACUCAUCCGAGGCCCCGUAAUCGGAAUGAGUACACUUUAAAUCCUUUAACGAGGACCAAUUGGAGGGCAAGUCUGGUGCCAGCAGCCGCGGUAAUUCCAGCUCCAAUAGCGUAUAUUAAAGUUGUUGCGGUUAAAAAGCUCGUAGUUGAAUUUGUGUCUCGCACUGUCGGUUCACCGCCCGCGGUGCUAACUGGCAUGUUUGCGAGACGUCCUGCCGGUGGAUGGUACGUAAUGUGAAGAUCUUUACGGGUCUUCAUUUUGCUCAUCCGACUUUUGAAAUCCUGUCGCGGUGCUCUUAACUGAGUGUCGAGGCGGGCCGGCACGUUUACUUUGAACAAAUUAAAGUGCUCAAAGCAGGCUAAUUAAUGCCUGAAUAAUUAGUGCAUGGAAUAAUGGAACAGGACCUUGGUUCUAUUUUGUUGGUUUUCGGAACCCCAAGGUAAUGAUUAAUAGGGACAGAUGGGGGCAUUCGUAUUGCGACGUUAGAGGUGAAAUUCUUGGAUCGUCGCAAGACGGACUAAAGCGAAAGCAUUUGCCAAAGAUGUUUUCAUUAAUCAAGAACGAAAGUCAGAGGCUCGAAGGCGAUCAGAUACCGCCCUAGUUCUGACCAUAAACGAUGCCAGCUAGCGAUCCGCCAAAGUUCCUCCGAUGACUUGGCGGGCAGCUUCCGGGAAACCAAAGCUUUUGGGUUCCGGGGGAAGUAUGGUUGCAAAGCUGAAACUUAAAGGAAUUGACGGAAGGGCACCACCAGGAGUGGAGCCUGCGGCUUAAUUUGACUCAACACGGGAAACCUCACCAGGCCCAGACACUGGAAGGAUUGACAGAUUGAGAGCUCUUUCUUGAUUCAGUGGGUGGUGGUGCAUGGCCGUUCUUAGUUGGUGGAGCGAUUUGUCUGGUUAAUUCCGAUAACGAACGAGACUCUAGCCUACUAAAUAGACGUUACACUUUCCAGUAUCUCGAAGGCUCACAUCUCUCAUUUCUUUAUUGCACAUCACUGGACAUUUCGGUGUUUUCAGUUGGUGUGUGGUGGGUGGGAGUUUGUGGUUUUUACUACUGGCGUACAUAUAAAUCUUCUUAGAGGGACAGGCGGCUUCUAGCCGCACGAGAUUGAGCAAUAACAGGUCUGUGAUGCCCUUAGAUGUUCUGGGCCGCACGCGCGCUACACUGAAGGAAUCAGCGUGUCUUCCCUGGCCGAAAGGUCCGGGUAACCCGCUGAACCUCCUUCGUGCUAGGGAUUGGGGCUUGCAAUUAUUCCCCAUGAACGAGGAAUUCCCAGUAAACGCGAGUCAUAAGCUCGCAUUGAUUACGUCCCUGCCCUUUGUACACACCGCCCGUCGCUACUACCGAUUGAAUGAUUUAGUGAGGUCUUCGGACUGGUACGCGGUGAUAUUUCGAUAUCACCGAUGUCGCUGGGAAGAUGACCAAACUUGAUUAUUUAGAGGAAGUAAAAGUCGUAACAAGGUUUCCGUA
RNAcentral lists this ribosomal RNA (1994 nucleotides) under Anchomenus dorsalis. Its description in RNAcentral is "SSU rRNA". It matches the Rfam family "Eukaryotic small subunit ribosomal RNA". Lineage: Eukaryota; Metazoa; Arthropoda; Insecta; Coleoptera; Carabidae. The record is from RNAcentral.